This 73-nucleotide transfer RNA is filed under the name Pedobacter psychrotolerans. Its description in RNAcentral is "tRNA-Thr". It matches the Rfam family "tRNA". From Rfam's summary of the family: Transfer RNA (tRNA) molecules are approximately 80 nucleotides in length. Their secondary structure includes four short double-helical elements and three loops (D, anti-codon, and T loops). Further hydrogen bonds mediate the characteristic L-shaped molecular structure. tRNAs have two regions of fundamental functional importance: the anti-codon, which is responsible for specific mRNA codon recognition, and the 3' end, to which the tRNAs corresponding amino acid is attached (by aminoacyl-tRNA synthetases). tRNAs cope with the degeneracy of the genetic code in two manners: having more than one tRNA (with a specific anti-codon) for a particular amino acid; and 'wobble' base-pairing, i.e. permitting non-standard base-pairing at the 3rd anti-codon position. Lineage: Bacteria; Pseudomonadati; Bacteroidota; Sphingobacteriia; Sphingobacteriales; Sphingobacteriaceae. The record is from RNAcentral.
GCCUCCUUAGCUCAGCUGGUAGAGCAACUGACUUGUAAUCAGUAGGUCAUUGGUUCGAUUCCGAUAGGAAGCU